This 312-nucleotide ribosomal RNA is filed under the name uncultured eukaryote. RNAcentral describes it as "partial 18S ribosomal RNA". It matches the Rfam family "Eukaryotic small subunit ribosomal RNA", at positions 1470 to 1796 of the family's 1831-position model. The record is from RNAcentral.
CCCUUAGAUGUCCUGGGCCGCACGCGUGCUACACUGAUGCAUACAGCGAGCACUUUCCGGCCCCGAAAGGCGGCUGGUAAUCAGCAAUAUGCAUCGUGAUGGGGAUAGAUCUUUGGAAUUCUUGAUCUUGAACGAGGAAUGCCUAGUAGGCGCACGUCAUUACCGUGCGUCGAUUAAGUCCCUGCCCUUUGUACACACCGCCCGUCGCUCCUACCGAUUCGAGUGAUCCGGUGAGCCUUUUGGACCGAGGAAGCUUGCUUCUUUGGAAAAUCAAGCAAACCACGUCACUUAGAGGAAGGAGAAGUCGUAACA